Molecule: ribosomal RNA, 253 nt
Filed under: uncultured bacterium
Lineage: Bacteria
Description: partial 16S ribosomal RNA
Rfam family: Bacterial small subunit ribosomal RNA
Source: RNAcentral
UACGUAGGGGGCAAGCGUUGUCCGGAUUUACUGGGCGUAAAGAGCGUGUAGGCGGCCAAGCAGGUCCGUUGUGAAAACUGGAGGCUUAACCUCCAGACGUCGACGGAAACCGCGUGGCUAGAGUCCGGAAGAGGAGAGUGGAAUUCCUGGUGUAGCGGUGAAAUGCGCAGAUAUCAGGAGGAACACCGGUGGCGAAGGCGGAUCUCUGGGCCUGUUCUGACGCUGAGGCACGAAAGCGUGGGUAGCAAACAGG